GGCAGCAGCUAAGAAUAUUCCGCAAUGCGCGAAAGCGUGACGGAGCGACGCCGCGUGGACGAUGAAGGCCGGAAGGUUGCAGAGUCCUUUGGCACGCGAGGAAGGAGCGGGGGAGGAAAUGAUCCCGCGGUGACUGUAGCGUGAGAACAAGCACCGGCUAAUUACGUGCCAGCAGCCGCGGUAACACGUAAGGUGCGAGCGUUGUUCGGAAUUAUUGGGCGUAAAGGGCAUGUAGGCGGCCUGGUAAGUCGGGCGUGAAAUCACGGGGCUCAACCCCGUGGCUGCGCCCGAUACUGUCGGGCUUGAGUCAGCGAGGCGGAGGCGGAAUUCCUGGUGUAGGGGUGAAAUCUGUAGAUAUCAGGAAGAACACCGGUGGCGAAGGCAGCCUCCGAGCGCAUGACUGACGCUGAGGUGCGAAGGUGCGGGGAGCGAACAGGAUUAGAUACCCUGGUAGUCCGCACAGUAAACGAUGCGCACUUGGUGUGCGGCCAAGAGGCUGUGCGCCGAAGCAAACGCGAUAAGUGCGCCGCCUGGGGAGUAUGCCCGCAAGGGUGAAACUCAAAGGAAUUGACGG
RNAcentral lists this ribosomal RNA (574 nucleotides) under uncultured rumen bacterium. Its description in RNAcentral is "bacterial SSU rRNA". It matches the Rfam family "Bacterial small subunit ribosomal RNA", at positions 347 to 916 of the family's 1533-position model. The record is from RNAcentral.